This 403-nucleotide ribosomal RNA is filed under the name uncultured bacterium. RNAcentral's name for it is "partial 16S ribosomal RNA". It matches the Rfam family "Bacterial small subunit ribosomal RNA", at positions 30 to 525 of the family's 1533-position model. The record is from RNAcentral.
AUUGAACGCUGGCGGCAGGCCUAACACAUGCAAGUCGAGCGAGCGGCGGACGGGUGAGUAAUGUAUGGGGACUGCCCGAUAGAGGGGGAUAACUACUGGAAACGGUGGCUAAUACCGCAUACUAUCGGAUAACCCAUAUGGGAUUAGCUAGUAGGUGGGGUAAAGGCUCACCUAGGCGACGAUCCCUAGCUGGUCUGAGAGGAUGAUCAGCCACACUGGGACUGAGACACGGCCCAGACUGCUACGGAGGCAGCAGUGGGGAAUAUUGUACAAUGGGCGCAAGCCUUAUGCAGCCAUGCCGCGUGUAUGAAGAAGGCCUUCGGGUUGUAAAGUACUUUCAGUCGGGAGGAGUUACCGACAGAAGAAGCACCGGCUAAAUCCGUGCCAGCAGACGCGGUAAUUA